Molecule: long non-coding RNA, 280 nt
Filed under: Lathyrus oleraceus (garden pea)
Lineage: Eukaryota; Viridiplantae; Streptophyta; Magnoliopsida; Fabales; Fabaceae
Description: Pisum sativum (pea) long non-coding RNA (PSAT_LNC002719)
Source: RNAcentral
UUUUUUUUGUCAAACUUUGUUUGACCUUGUUGAACUUGGGAUAAAUCACUUGGACUUUCAAAAGUUGAUUUAAAGUGAUUUUGAAGUUUGACCUUUCUUUAAUAUUUUGAUUCAAGUUUAUUUUGAAUAUUAAAAAAUGCAAAAAAUAUUUUGUUCAUUUCUUGACUUCCAAUCUUCAUCUCAUUUCUGUUUUUGAUUGUUUGACCAUGAUCCUCAAUGUCAUUUGGUCAACACGUGUUGAUUGGUACAUUCCAUUUUAUUUAAUGCACUUUAUUCUUUC